Molecule: ribosomal RNA, 568 nt
Filed under: uncultured Actinomycetes bacterium
Lineage: Bacteria; Bacillati; Actinomycetota; Actinomycetes
Description: bacterial SSU rRNA
Rfam family: Bacterial small subunit ribosomal RNA
Source: RNAcentral
CCUACGGGAGGCAGCAGUAGGGAAUAUUGGGCAAUGGGCGCAAGCCUGACCCAGCGACGCCGCGUGAGGGAUGAAGGUCUUCGGAUUGUAAACCUCUUUCAGUAGGGAAGAAGCGAAAGUGACGGUACCUAAAGAAGAAGCACCGGCUAACUAUGUGCCAGCAGCCGCGGUAAUACAUAGGGUGCAAGCGUUGUCCGGAAUUAUUGGGCGUAAAGAGCUCGUAGGUCGUUUGUCGCGUCGAUUGUGAAAAUCUGAGGCUCAACCUCAGACCUGCAGUCGAUACGGGCAAACUAGAGUGUGGUAGGGGAGACUGGAAUUCCUGGUGUAGCGGUGGAAUGCGCAGAUAUCAGGAGGAACACCAAUGGCGAAGGCAGGUCUCUGGGCCAUAACUGACACUGAGGAGCGAAAGUGCGGGGAGCGAACAGGAUUAGAUACCCUGGUAGUCCGCACCGUAAACGGUGGGCACUAGUUGUGGGAACCUUCCACGGUUUCCGCGACGCAGCAAACGCAUUAAGUGCCCCGCCUGGGGAGUACGAUCGCAAGAUUAAAACUCAAAGGAAUUGACCGG